AGAGUCGCCCGGAUCACCGCGUUAUGAGUGGAUUUAUUUCGACUUGUACCGAGGAAAGUCCGGACUCCAAUGGGCAAAGUUGUGGGUAAUUCCCACCCGGAGAAAUCCGCGGGACCAGUGCAACAGAAAGUAAACCGCCACUUGUUAGUUUUCUAGGGAGUGGUAAGGGUGAAACGGUGGUGUAAGAGACCACCAGUACGUGAAGCGAUUUGCGUAGCUAGGUAAACCCAACUUGGAGCAAGACCAUGCAGGUGGCGUUUGAGUGUGCCCACACAAGUCACCGGGUAGGUUGCUUGAAUCUGUAAGUAAUUGCAGAUCUAGAUGGAUGGUGAUCUCGCUAGUAAUAGCAAGACAGAAUCCGGCUUAUAGGGCGACUCUUCUU
Molecule: RNase P RNA, 382 nt
Filed under: Candidatus Nanopelagicaceae bacterium
Lineage: Bacteria; Bacillati; Actinomycetota; Actinomycetes; Candidatus Nanopelagicales; Candidatus Nanopelagicaceae
Description: RNase P RNA component class A
Rfam family: Bacterial RNase P class A
About the family: Ribonuclease P (RNase P) is a ubiquitous endoribonuclease, found in archaea, bacteria and eukarya as well as chloroplasts and mitochondria. Its best characterised activity is the generation of mature 5'-ends of tRNAs by cleaving the 5'-leader elements of precursor-tRNAs. Cellular RNase Ps are ribonucleoproteins.
Source: RNAcentral